RNAcentral lists this ribosomal RNA (395 nucleotides) under uncultured bacterium. RNAcentral describes it as "bacterial SSU rRNA". It matches the Rfam family "Bacterial small subunit ribosomal RNA", at positions 30 to 429 of the family's 1533-position model. The record is from RNAcentral.
AUUGAACGCUGGCGGCAUGCCUUACACAUGCAAGUCGAACGGCAGCGGACCUUCGGGUGCCGGCGAGUGGCGAACGGGUGAGUAAUAUAUCGGAACGUACCUUUCAGUGGGGGAUAACGUAGCGAAAGUUACGCUAAUACCGCAUAUUCUGUGAGCAGGAAAGCAGGGGAUCGCAAGACCUUGCGCUGAUUGAGCGGCCGAUAUCAGAUUAGCUAGUUGGUGAGGUAAAGGCUCACCAAGGCGACGAUCUGUAGCGGGUCUGAGAGGAUGAUCCGCCACACUGGAACUGAGACACGGUCCAGACUCCUACGGGAGGCAGCAGUGGGGAAUUCUGGACAAUGGGCGCAAGUCUGAUCCAGCCAUGCCGCGUGAGUGAAGAAGGCCUCGGUUGUAAG